Bufo bufo (common toad) is the source of this 716-nucleotide long non-coding RNA. RefSeq lists it as uncharacterized. Lineage: Eukaryota; Metazoa; Chordata; Amphibia; Anura; Bufonidae. The transcript has 3 exons. The record is from RefSeq and is a predicted model, not a curated record.
CAUGUCGGCUUAUCAUUUUCUCAUUCCUGAUAUCCCAGUUCAGCACAAGAGGCUGAACUCAUAGCCCUUACUGAGGCCUGCCUCAUAGCGAAAGACUCCACUGCCAACAUCUACACAGACUCCAGAUAUGCCUUUGGAGUAGUUCAUGAUUUUGGAGUAAUAUGGAAGGCCAGAGAUUACAUUACAGCCGCAGGAACUCCAAUUAAACAUGCUUUAGCAGUAGAGGCCUUAAUGGCUGCACUACUACUGCCCACCAAAGUGGCAGUAAUUAAAGUAAAGGCGCAUACCCGUGCUGACACACCAGAAGCCAAAGGAAAUGCUCUGGCUGACCAAGCAGACAAACAGGCAGCAAUGGAAAAGGAAGUAGCACAGCCAGAUAAAAUCAUGCUGGCACAAAAGGAUCUCAAACAACAAGAAGUAUCAUGGGAUCUACUGAAACAGAUGCAGAAGCAAGCCACUCGCUCAGAAAAAGAAACCCGGCUAAAAGAGUCAGCCCUUGAAGAAGAAUCCGGACUUUGGACACAAGGGAAGAAAGUGUGCUUGCCUAGAGCGCUCUAUCCUAUCAUUGCCUCUGUGGCCCAUGGACCCACUCAUCAAUCUAAGACAAUAAUGAAGGAGCUCAUCGAUAAAAUAUGGGUAGCCCCAAGAAUCACCCCUGUUUUGGUGAAAUAUGUCCAGUCAUGUCUAAUCUGUGCCCAAUGCAAUCCCGGUAGGAC